Molecule: ribosomal RNA, 1206 nt
Filed under: Staphylococcus aureus
Lineage: Bacteria; Bacillati; Bacillota; Bacilli; Caryophanales; Staphylococcaceae
Description: partial 23S ribosomal RNA
Rfam family: Bacterial large subunit ribosomal RNA
Source: RNAcentral
GAUGAAUCAAAGAAGGUAAUAAUCCUGUAGUCGAAAAUGUUGUCUCUCUUGAGUGGAUCCUGAGUACGACGGAGCACGUGAAAUUCCGUCGGAAUCUGGGAGGACCAUCUCCUAAGGCUAAAUACUCUCUAGUGACCGAUAGUGAACCAGUACCGUGAGGGAAAGGUGAAAAGCACCCCGGAAGGGGAGUGAAAUAGAACCUGAAACCGUGUGCUUACAAGUAGUCAGAGCCCGUUAAUGGGUGAUGGCGUGCCUUUUGUAGAAUGAACCGGCGAGUUACGAUUUGAUGCAAGGUUAAGCAGUAAAUGUGGAGCCGUAGCGAAAGCGAGUCUGAAUAGGGCGUUUAGUAUUUGGUCGUAGACCCGAAACCAGGUGAUCUACCCUUGGUCAGGUUGAAGUUCAGGUAACACUGAAUGGAGGACCGAACCGACUUACGUUGAAAAGUGAGCGGAUGAACUGAGGGUAGCGGAGAAAUUCCAAUCGAACCUGGAGAUAGCUGGUUCUCUCCGAAAUAGCUUUAGGGCUAGCCUCAAGUGAUGAUUAUUGGAGGUAGAGCACUGUUUGGACGAGGGGCCCCUCUCGGGUUACCGAAUUCAGACAAACUCCGAAUGCCAAUUAAUUUAACUUGGGAGUCAGAACAUGGGUGAUAAGGUCCGUGUUCGAAAGGGAAACAGCCCAGACCACCAGCUAAGGUCCCAAAAUAUAUGUUAAGUGGAAAAGGAUGUGGCGUUGCCCAGACAACUAGGAUGUUGGCUUAGAAGCAGCCAUCAUUUAAAGAGUGCGUAAUAGCUCACUAGUCGAGUGACACUGCGCCGAAAAUGUACCGGGGCUAAACAUAUUACCGAAGCUGUGGAUUGUCCUUUGGACAAUGGUAGGAGAGCGUUCUAAGGGCGUUGAAGCAUGAUCGUAAGGACAUGUGGAGCGCUUAGAAGUGAGAAUGCCGGUGUGAGUAGCGAAAGACGGGUGAGAAUCCCGUCCACCGAUUGACUAAGGUUUCCAGAGGAAGGCUCGUCCGCUCUGGGUUAGUCGGGUCCUAAGCUGAGGCCGACAGGCGUAGGCGAUGGAUAACAGGUUGAUAUUCCUGUACCACCUAUAAUCGUUUUAAUCGAUGGGGGGACGCAGUAGGAUAGGCGAAGCGUGCGAUUGGAUUGCACGUCUAAGCAGUAAGGCUGAGUAUUAGGCAAAUCCGGUACUCGUUAAGGCUGA